RNAcentral lists this long non-coding RNA (645 nucleotides) under Prunus persica (peach). RNAcentral's name for it is "long non-coding RNA (PPER_LNC004878)". Lineage: Eukaryota; Viridiplantae; Streptophyta; Magnoliopsida; Rosales; Rosaceae. The record is from RNAcentral.
AUAACACUCAUAUUUUACAAAGAGAGAAUUUUCUUUGAGGGAGUCUCGGAGAAAAUUUUGAAACUGAGAAAACUGAAAAAUUACAUACUGGUUUGCUAAGGCCGAGAGGCGUCUAUUUAAAGAGCAAGACUACUGUGAUGUCGGCAAAUUCUGAAGGUAUGGGAAUCUUGACUAUUUGGCAGCUUAUGGUGACUGUGGAGGCACAGGAUUUUGACUAUUUUCUUUUCUACUUUUAUCUUUACUUUUUCACUUUUUAUUUUUCCUUUCUUUCACUUCAAUCAUUUCUGCUUUACUUUUACUUUUGCUUUUCUGACCUUUCUGAGUCAGUCUUCAUUAAGAUCAUAAGGGUCUUGACUGUCAGGGUAAUCUGCCCACCGAAACUUUUGAGUAGAUUCCUUUUGACUAGAAGAUGAGGCCUGAGAGGAAUGAGAUCUUGGGGAGGCUUCAUCGUCAUCGUCCAUUUGGGAGGCUUGAAUCAUGAGUUGUCUAGCUAAUUCUUUAAUUUUUGGCUUUGAUCUUCCUUCGAUUAGGAGAGAAGAGUGAGAAGUGCCUAAGGUUGAAGGCUUCUGAGGAGCUUUGACUAAGGGAAAUUCCUGAUUGACUUGAUCAAUGACCUUUUCUGACUUGAAUUUAUCCAACCAUUUU